CAAAAACUUACAGCUCUGGUCGGAUCUCUGUCUGACUGGGAUGUAAAUUUGAGCGUUUUGUACAAAAACCUCGAGCUGUUUCUCAGCUUGGGGGGACAAUCGCUUUAAAAUGAUUGUGCGUAGUGCGAAAGCUCGACUCUCAGUGCAACAGAUCAUUGGAACACCUGAGAGUUCGAACGUGCUAUGCCUUCAAAUCCACACGGGGCGUGCUCGCAGUUUAUGCGAGUGGCUCCGAUA
Molecule: unclassified non-coding RNA, 237 nt
Filed under: uncultured Chytridiomycota
Lineage: Eukaryota; Fungi; Chytridiomycota
Description: sequence contains ITS2
Source: RNAcentral